GGACAUCAAGUAAAAGAAAGAAAGGAAGAGAAGAUAAGAAGAAAUGAGGAGAAAUGGAAUUUUUCUCCUCUCCUUUAUAAUUAGCCCACACUAUUUCUCUUCAAAAUAGUAGGAAAUAGAGAGAAAUGGAGAGAAAUUUAUAGUAAUAUACUAAAAUGUCUCUCUACAACAUAAUAGAAAGUUAAUUAAAUUUCUUUUCUUUUCUUUU
Molecule: unclassified non-coding RNA, 208 nt
Filed under: Hevea brasiliensis (rubber tree)
Lineage: Eukaryota; Viridiplantae; Streptophyta; Magnoliopsida; Malpighiales; Euphorbiaceae
Source: RNAcentral